GUUGGUUAAUAUAGGAAUGAAGUCUAUGUUCGUAUUUGCAGAUUAGUGUCAUCAUGAUACCCUUAGUUCACUCUGUUAGUACUUAUCACUGCAUCCCGACUUGAACUUUGAAUUUUUACCUGAAGCACUCGUUUGCACCAGUUUUUCUUUUAUGAGCUUUUUAAUAUUUUGCUUGAGGACAAGCAAAGGUUUAAGUGUGGGACAGUUUGAUAACACUGAAAUUUACCGUAUUUUCGACUCUGAUUUCACAUGAAUU
RNAcentral lists this long non-coding RNA (256 nucleotides) under Lathyrus oleraceus (garden pea). RNAcentral's name for it is "Pisum sativum (pea) long non-coding RNA (PSAT_LNC011385)". Lineage: Eukaryota; Viridiplantae; Streptophyta; Magnoliopsida; Fabales; Fabaceae. The record is from RNAcentral.